RNAcentral lists this transfer RNA (69 nucleotides) under Trichogramma dendrolimi. RNAcentral describes it as "tRNA-Cys". Lineage: Eukaryota; Metazoa; Arthropoda; Insecta; Hymenoptera; Trichogrammatidae. The record is from RNAcentral.
UGUUUAAUAAUUUAAGAAAAAUAUUAAAUUGCAAAUUUAAUCUUAUUAAUUUUAUAUUAAUUUAAACUU